CAGGAACAUUUUGUCCUGGUGGUUCAUCCCUUCCUAUUCCCUGUACCCCAGGCUCUUUUUUGGCCCAUCAGGGUGGCCAAUCAGCACAAGAUUGCCAGCACUGUUUAGCAGGAUGGUUCUGCUCCCACCGAGGUCAAAGUACACCAGAGGGGAGAUGUAAGGAGGGCUGGUUUUGCCCAGAGGGGUCUGUAUCAGGCCUUAAUCCAGAUUAUAUAUGUCCUGUUGGUCACUAUUGCCCAACAGGCAGCCCAGAGCCCAAACCCUGUCCCUCUGGGAAAUACCAGGACCAGACUGGUCAAAGCCUGUGCAAGACGUGCCCAGCAGGAAAGUUCUGUGGCCCAGAAGUCCAAAUCCAAGAUCACAAGGAGACCUUUUCACAUGGAACGAUCAAGCCAGCAGAUUGCCCGGCUGGAUACUACUGCCUCUCAGGAACUAAAACUGCCAAGCAGUACCCAUGCCCCAAGGGCACCUUCAGUAACCAGACUGGGCUGAGCAAUUCCAAGGACUGCAGAGCUUGCCCUGGGGGAAAAUUCUGUGCAGAUGCAGGUCUCUUGACCCCGAGUGGCCCUUGUUUGCCCAGGUAUUACUGCAUUUUGAAGGCACGUGUACCUAAUCCUGUUAAAGAUGAAACUGGAGACUUGUGCCCAGCAGGACACUUCUGCCCACUGGGUAGCAGCAGCCCAG
RNAcentral lists this long non-coding RNA (684 nucleotides) under Gopherus agassizii (Agassiz's desert tortoise). RNAcentral describes it as "lncRNA (ENSGAGG00000017175.1)". The record is from RNAcentral. Lineage: Eukaryota; Metazoa; Chordata; Testudines; Testudinidae.